This 253-nucleotide ribosomal RNA is filed under the name uncultured bacterium. RNAcentral describes it as "partial 16S ribosomal RNA". It matches the Rfam family "Bacterial small subunit ribosomal RNA", at positions 524 to 776 of the family's 1533-position model. The record is from RNAcentral.
UACGUAGGGGGCAAGCGUUGUCCGGAAUCAUUGGGCGUAAAGAGCGUGUAGGCGGUUCGGUAAGUCGGCUGUGAAAGUCCAGGGCUCAACCCUGGGAUGCCGGUCGAUACUGCCGGACUAGAGUUCGGAAGAGGCGAGUGGAAUUCCCGGUGUAGCGGUGAAAUGCGCAGAUAUCGGGAGGAACACCUAUGGCGAAGGCAGCUCGCUGGGACGUUACUGACGCUAAGACGCGAAAGCGUGGGGAGCAAACAGG